CCUAUUUUUUUAGCGCAAGUCCACAUAGUAGUACCGUUUCCGGUUUUUUUCUUCUUCUUCAAUUUCAUUUCGCGGCAAAAUUGAGAAGAAGCGAAGCAAAACAUUCUGUUAACUUAGCGUUGAAAUCGAACAAACUAACGUUCUUUUGUUUGAUGUGAUAUCAGUGUAAUAAUGAGGUGCAUUGUACCCGGUUGUUAUAAUGCCCCCGUUAAACUUGCCUUGAAAGCACAUUUUCAUAGUUUUCCACGCGAUGCAACUUUGUGCCAGACAUGGAUGGAUGUAAUCAGACACCCCAACAUAACAGCCGAAGAAGUUCGCGAACGAGGACUAAUGCAGCGACCACUUGAAGCCACCGACUACCAAGGCGACCGUCUGAAGCCUGGAGCUGUACCCACCGUUUUCCCAUCAUUGGUCGAACCGCUCGAGGUACGCCCACAUCAGAAGUCAAUGAUAUGCAUCCUCGAACUCCCUGGGUCUACUUCCUGAAUUUGUAAAGCCGGAGAGAGAGAGGCUGCUAACAGAAACGCGGACGGAAAGUCUCCAUAAUGAGACCACCUUUACACAGGACGUUGCGUAAAGCUUCAUUACAAGAGCCAUACGACCUGGGCCUCCUGUACCCAUGACAAGCAACAAGAGCCAUACGACCCCCCCCCCCCCCCGCCCCCCGCUCACACCUGGACUGGGGUGGGGUUUGAUUAACUUCACUGUGGUCCUGAAUGAUGAAGGGAAAAAAAGACCUACGCAAUAGCAAAAAAAAAAAAAAACCCUUAUUUGAUUGGGCGGAAUCUUCUGGUAAUGUGAUAUGCCGUAAUGCUCUGUUCUGCCCUGGGAGGGUGUGUUCCGCGAUGAGUUUCAGAGGAAUUGUCAUCGUAAAUUACAAUUAUUUUCAUCCAGAACGUUCCAGAGGCCCACUUAGAGUCCAUCUGCCUCGUUCAGAGAUUGCCUCCUGACAUUUCCCCACCUUCUGCCAAAUUUCAUUAUGUAAGGACGGAAAGCGGUGAUGUGGUCCGGGAGCAGACGUGUGGAACCACCCCUUCCUUCAGAGCAGCCUUUAACAGCACAUAUCCCUGCAGGUUCCUGGAGUGCACGGUAGUGAAGCCCUUUUCCUCUUUCUCUCCUCUACAUGUUCAUCCUGUCAUCCGUACUGGUUGUCUUUCUCUUCUUGCUCUGAAUGACUGAACAGUUUUUCUUUAGAAGGUUGAUAAUUUGCCCAAGUUCACUAGCACACUCUCUUCUAAUAUUGUUUCCCACAAAACCCUUCCAAGAACCACUGUUUGUACUGCUGCUGAUCCAGCUGCUGAUCUUUCUCUCUGCAUGAUGAGCCUGCUCUCUGUGUGCUGAUCUUGCUCUCUGCAUGAUGAGCCUGCUCUGUGUGUGCUGCCCCUGCUCUGUGUGUGCUGCUGCUGCUCUGUGUGUGCUGCUCCUGCUCUGUGUGUGCUGCUCCUGCUCUGUGUGUGCUGCUCCUGCUCUGUGUGUGUGCUGCUCCUGCUCUGUGUGUGUGCUGCUCCUGCUUUGUGUGUGUGCUGCUCCUGCUCUCUGUGUAUGUGGAGCCUACUCUCUGUGUGUGUGCUGCUCCUGCUCUGUGUGUGUGUGGAUGUGUAAUUAAGUAAAGUCCUGAGUGUGUGCAUGGCCUCGGCCUUAUUGUGAUGAAGUGGUUUCAUGAGCGGCAAAUGACCAGUGACCAGGUCAUGCAUUAUAAUAUUACCCAUCAGAAGAAGAGUGUUUCACAUGCAGUGUUUCUGCAUA
Long non-coding RNA from Anguilla rostrata (American eel), 1746 nucleotides. RefSeq lists it as uncharacterized. The record is from RefSeq and is a predicted model, not a curated record. Lineage: Eukaryota; Metazoa; Chordata; Actinopteri; Anguilliformes; Anguillidae. The transcript has 3 exons.